CGCAGCCGCGGUAAUUCCAGCUCCAAUAGCGUAUAUUAAAGUUGUUGCAGUUAAAAAGCUCGUAGUUGAAUUUCGGGAUCAGUAUGUCGGUCGUGCUUCGGUACGUACUGUCAUUACUGGUUUCUACCUUCUGAAGAACCAUGAUGUCAUUAAUUUGGUGUCUUGGGGAAUCAGGACUGUUACUUUGAAAAAAUUAGAGUGUUUAAAGCAGGCUCGCGCUUGAAUACAUUAGCAUGGAAUAAUGAAAUAGGACGUUUGAUUCUAUUUUGUUGGUUUCUAGGAUCGACGUAAUGAUUAAUAGGGAUAGUUGGGGGCAUUAGUAUUCAAUUGUCAGAGGUGAAAUUCUUGGAUUUAUUGAAGACUAACUACUGCGAAAGCAUUUGCCAAGGAUGUUUUCAUUAAUCAAGAACGAAAGUUAGGGGAUCGAAGACGAUCAGAUACCGUCGUAGUCUUAACCAUAAACUAUGCCGACUAGGGAUCGGAUGAUGUUAUUUUUAAUGACUCAUUCGGCGCCUUACGG
Molecule: small RNA, 520 nt
Filed under: uncultured Glomus
Lineage: Eukaryota; Fungi; Glomeromycota; Glomeromycetes; Glomerales; Glomeraceae
Description: SSU rRNA
Rfam family: Eukaryotic small subunit ribosomal RNA
Source: RNAcentral